This 429-nucleotide ribosomal RNA is filed under the name Pseudomonadota bacterium. RNAcentral describes it as "Proteobacteria bacterium partial 16S ribosomal RNA". It matches the Rfam family "Bacterial small subunit ribosomal RNA", at positions 355 to 776 of the family's 1533-position model. Lineage: Bacteria; Pseudomonadati; Pseudomonadota. The record is from RNAcentral.
UGGGGAAUAUUGGACAAUGGGCGAAAGCCUGAUCCAGCCAUGCCGCGUGUGUGAAGAAGGUCUUCGGAUUGUAAAGCACUUUAAGUUGGGAGGAAGGGCAGUAAGCGAAUACCUUGCUGUUUUGACGUUACCGACAGAAUAAGCACCGGCUAACUCUGUGCUAGCAGCCGCGGUAAUACAGAGGGUGCAAGCGUUAAUCGGAAUUACUGGGCGUAAAGCGCGCGUAGGUGGUUCGUUAAGUUGAAUGUGAAAGCCCCGGGCUCAACCUGGGAACUGCAUCCAAAACUGGCGAGCUAGAGUAGGGCAGAGGGUGGUGGAAUUUCCUGUGUAGCGGAGAAAUGCGUAGAUAUAGGAAGGAACACCAGUGGCGAAGGCGACCACCUGGGCUCAUACUGACACUGAGGUGCGAAAGCGUGGGGAGCAAACAGG